GGUUUGAUCCCUGGCCCAGAUUGAACGCUGGCGGAUGCUUUACACAUGCAAGUCGAACGGCAGCACGGACUUCGGUCUGGUGGCGAGUGGCGAACGGGUGAGUAAUAUCGGAACGUGCCUUAAGGGGAUAACUACGCGAAAGUUGCAGCUACUACUGCAUACGCCCUUCGGGGGAAAGUGGGGACCUUCAAACUGCACUAGAGCGCAAGCCGAUAUCGGAUUAGCUAGUUGGUGGGGCAACGGCUCACCAAGGCGACGAUCCGUAGCUGGUUUGAGAGGACGACCAGCCACACUGGGACUGAGACACGGCCCAGACUACGGAGGCAAGGUAGUGGGGAAUUUUGGACAAUGGGGGAAACCCUGAUCCAGCCAUCUCCGCGUGUGCGAUGAAGGCUUUGUUGUAGCACUUUUGGCAGGAAAGAAACGGCACGGGAUAAUACCCGUGCAACUGACGGUACCUGCAGAUAAGUGGCUCCACAACUACGCGCCAGCACAUGGUAAUACGUAGGGAAAAAGCGUUAAUCGGAAUUACUGGGCGUAAAGCGUGGCGCAGGCGGUUCGGCAAGAAAGAUGAAAUCCCAGAGCUUAACUUCUUGGAACUGCAUUUUUAACUACCGAGCUAGAGUGGUCAGAGGGAGUGUGGAAUUCCCGCGUGUAGCAGUGAAAUGCGUAGAUAGGCGGAGGGACACCGAUGGCGAAGUGCAGCCUCCGGGAUAACACUGACGCCGCACGAAAGCGUGGGGAGCAAACAGGAUUAGAUACCCUUGGUAGUCCACGCCCAAACGAUGUCAACUAGCUGUUGGGGCCUUCGCCAGCGCAGCUAACGCGUGAAGUUGACCGCCUCGGGGAGUACGGUCGCAAGAGGAUUAAAUCAAAGGAAUUGACGGGGACCCGCACAAGCGGUGGAUGACGUGGGAUUAAUCUGAUGCAACGAAAAACCUUACCUACUCCUUGACAUGUCUGGAAUCCCGAAGAUUUCGGAGUGUCGCAAGAGAACCGGAACACAGGUGCUGCAUGGCUGUCGUCAGCUCGUGUCGUGAGAUGUUGGGUUAAGUCCCGCAACGAGCGCAACUCCCUUGUCAUUAGUUGCUACGAAAGGGCACUCUCUGACGAGACUUGCCGGUGACAAAACCGGGAGGAAGGUGGGGAUGACGUCAAGUCCUCAUGGCCCUUAUGGGUAGGGCUUCACACGUCAUUAGCGGCGCAACAGACGGGACAGGUGGUCGCCAACCCGCGAGGGGGAGCCAAUCCCAGAAACCCGAUCAGUCCGGAUCGCAGGUUCGCAACUGACCGCGUGAAGUCGGAAUCGCCAGUGAACUUCCGGUGAUCAGCAUGUCGCGGUGAAUAUUCCUGGCCUUGUACACACCGCCCGUCACACCAUGGGAGUGGGUUUUGACGGUAAUAGUUAGCCUAACCGUAAGGAGGGCGCAUUUACCACGGUAGGAUUCAUGACUGGGGUGAAGUCGUAAUACAGCG
RNAcentral lists this ribosomal RNA (1476 nucleotides) under uncultured Bordetella sp. Its description in RNAcentral is "partial 16S-23S ribosomal RNA intergenic spacer". It matches the Rfam family "Bacterial small subunit ribosomal RNA". The record is from RNAcentral. Lineage: Bacteria; Pseudomonadati; Pseudomonadota; Betaproteobacteria; Burkholderiales; Alcaligenaceae.